Molecule: ribosomal RNA, 364 nt
Filed under: Anomaloglossus baeobatrachus
Lineage: Eukaryota; Metazoa; Chordata; Amphibia; Anura; Aromobatidae
Description: partial large subunit ribosomal RNA
Rfam family: Bacterial large subunit ribosomal RNA
Source: RNAcentral
GUGACAUUGUUCAACGGCCGCGGUAUCCUAACCGUGCGAAGGUAGCGUAAUCACUUGUCCUUUAAAUGAAGACUAGUAUGAAUGGCCCCACGAAAGCUAUACUGUCUCCUUUUUCUAAUCAGUUAAACUAAUCUCCCCGUGAAGAAGCGGGGAUAAACAUAUAAGACGAGAAGACCCUAUGGAGCUUCAAACAACUGAAACACUUGUAUAUCCUCCCUCACCUGCCAACAUUUAACCUCACAUUUUGUUUCUAGUUUUAGGUUGGGGUGACCACGGAGAAAAAACUAACCUCCACGACGAAAGAGACAUCUCUAAACAAAAAGCUACAUCUUUAUGUAUUAACACAUUAACCUUUAUUGACCCA